GGAAUCUUGCACAAUGGAGGAAACUCUGAUGCAGCGAUGCCGCGUGAGUGAAGAAGGCCUUUGGGUUGUAAAGCUCUUUUGUAGGGGAAGAUAAUGACUGUACCCUAAGAAUAAGGUCCGGCUAACUUCGCGCCAGCAGCCGCGGUAAUACGAAGGGACCUAGCGUAGUUCGGAAUUACUGGGCGUAAAGCGCGCGUAGGCCGUUGAGUUAGUUAAUUGUGAAAUCCCAAAGCUUAACUUUGGAACUGCAAUUAAAACUGCUCGACUAGAGUUUGAUAGAGGAAAGCGGAAUACAUAGUGUAGAGGUGAAAUUCGUAGAUAUUAUGUAGAACACCAGUUGCGAAGGCGGCUUUCUGGAUCAACACUGACGCUGAGGCGCGAAAGUAUGGGUAGCAAAGAGGAUUAGAUACCCUCGUAGUCCAUACCAUAAACGAUGAUUGCUAGAUGUUGGAAAUUUAUUUUCAGUAUCGCAGCUAACGCAUUAAGCAAUCCGCCUGGGGAGUACGACCGCAAGGUUAAAACUCAAAUGAAUUGACGG
Molecule: ribosomal RNA, 538 nt
Filed under: uncultured bacterium
Lineage: Bacteria
Description: bacterial SSU rRNA
Rfam family: Bacterial small subunit ribosomal RNA
Source: RNAcentral